This 147-nucleotide small nucleolar RNA is filed under the name Albugo candida. RNAcentral describes it as "Small nucleolar RNA U3". It matches the Rfam family "Small nucleolar RNA U3", at positions 75 to 219 of the family's 219-position model. Rfam says of the family: Small nucleolar RNAs (snoRNAs) are involved in the processing and modification of rRNA in the nucleolus. There are two main classes of snoRNAs: the box C/D class, and the box H/ACA class. The record is from Rfam by way of RNAcentral. Lineage: Eukaryota; Oomycota; Peronosporomycetes; Albuginales; Albuginaceae.
AACUUUGAUGAUCGCAUUCGACUUCAUGCAUUGACUCGGGAUGUCGGUGGUAGUGCUGUGCUCUCUUUGGGACUGGCCUCCUCCGUUGAUGAACGUCCGCUGUCGUUAUUCCAAGACGGCGUGAGUGUGUGAAGUGAUAUGAGAAGU